RNAcentral lists this ribosomal RNA (466 nucleotides) under uncultured bacterium. RNAcentral's name for it is "partial 16S ribosomal RNA". It matches the Rfam family "Bacterial small subunit ribosomal RNA", at positions 28 to 507 of the family's 1533-position model. The record is from RNAcentral.
GACGAACGCUGGCGGCGUGCUUAACACAUGCAAGUCGAACGGAAAGGCCCAGCUUUCUGGGUACUCGCGUGUCGAACGGGUGUGUAACACGCGUGUUAUCCGCCCCCUACUUUGGGAUAUGCCUGGGAAACUGGGUGGAUUACAGGAUAUGAUCAACUCUCCCGCGGUGGUUGGGUGAAAGCUUUUGCGGUGGUGGAGGGGCCCGCGGCCUAUCAGCUUGUUGGUGGGGUAUUGGCCUACCAAGGCGCCGACGGGUAGCCGACCUGAGAGGGUGAUCGGCCACACUGGGACUGAGACACGGCCCAGACUCCUACGGGAGGCAGCAGUGGGGAAUAUUGCACAAUGGGCGGAAGCCUGAUGCAGCAACGCCGCGUGAGGGAUGACGGCCUUCGGGUUGUAAACCUCUUUCACCAGGGACGAAGCGUGAGUGACGGUACCUGGAGAAGAAGCACCGGCCAACUACGUG